RNAcentral lists this small RNA (510 nucleotides) under Pongo abelii (Sumatran orangutan). RNAcentral's name for it is "processed transcript". The record is from RNAcentral. Lineage: Eukaryota; Metazoa; Chordata; Mammalia; Primates; Hominidae.
GUUUUGCUGCAAGUUCUGUUUUGAACACCUCUCUUCCUGUCUCCAGACAGUCCCCUGAUCCCACAGCAGUGAAUGCAUGAAGAGUUAGGAAUGUGAAAGCGCGUGUGUUUGUUGACUUUUGGUCUGGGUUUCUUGGCAGCCCCGACUAUCUGAGAUCGGCCGAGAUGACUGAGGUGAUGAUGAACACCCAGCCCAUGGAGGAGAUCGGCCUCAGCCCCCGCAAGGAUGGCCUUUCCUACCAGAUCUUCCCAGACCCGUCAGAUUUUGACCGCUGCUGCAAACUGAAGGACCGUCUGCCCUCCAUAGUGGUGGAACCCACAGAAGGAGAGGUGGAGAGCGGGGAGCUCCGGUGGCCCCCUGAGGAGUUCCUGGUCCAGGAGGAUGAGCAAGAUAACUGCGAAGAGACAGCGAAAGAAAAUAAAGAGCAGUAGAGUCCCUGUGGACUCCCAUGGGUCAUACCAGCCAGCAUCUGUUCCUGAACUGUGUUUUUCCCAUCAUGACGGAAGAAGA